This 260-nucleotide ribosomal RNA is filed under the name uncultured Pseudomonas sp. RNAcentral describes it as "partial 16S ribosomal RNA". It matches the Rfam family "Bacterial small subunit ribosomal RNA", at positions 1123 to 1382 of the family's 1533-position model. The record is from RNAcentral. Lineage: Bacteria; Pseudomonadati; Pseudomonadota; Gammaproteobacteria; Pseudomonadales; Pseudomonadaceae.
CGUAAUGGUGGGGAACUCUAAGGAGACUGCCGGUGACAAACCGGAGGAAGGUGGGGAUGACGUCAAGUCAUCAUGGCCCUUACGGCCAGGGCUACACACGUGCUACAAUGGUCGGUACAAAGGGUUGCCAAGCCGCGAGGUGGAGCUAAUCCCAUAAAACCGAUCGUAGUCCGGAUCGCAGUCUGCAACUCGACUGCGUGAAGUCGGAAUCGCUAGUAAUCGUGAAUCAGAAUGUCACGGUGAAUACGUUCCCGGGCCUU